RNAcentral lists this ribosomal RNA (301 nucleotides) under uncultured bacterium. RNAcentral describes it as "partial 16S ribosomal RNA". It matches the Rfam family "Bacterial small subunit ribosomal RNA", at positions 509 to 807 of the family's 1533-position model. The record is from RNAcentral.
CAGUCGCCGCGGUAAUACAGAGGGUGCAAGCGUUAAUCGGAAUUACUGGGCGUAAAGCGCGCGUAGGUGGUUUGGUAAGAUGGAUGUGAAAUCCCCGGGCUCAACCUGGGAACUGCAUCCAUAACUGCCUGACUAGAGUACGGUAGAGGGUGGUGGAAUUUCCUGUGUAGCGGUGAAAUGCGUAGAUAUAGGAAGGAACACCAGUGGCGAAGGCGACCACCUGGACUGAUACUGACACUGAGGUGCGAAAGCGUGGGGAGCAAACAGGAUUAGAUACCCCUGUAGUCCCUGUCUCUUAUAC